This 640-nucleotide ribosomal RNA is filed under the name uncultured sebacinoid mycobiont of Calypogeia muelleriana. RNAcentral's name for it is "eukaryotic LSU rRNA". It matches the Rfam family "Eukaryotic large subunit ribosomal RNA", at positions 43 to 661 of the family's 3401-position model. The record is from RNAcentral. Lineage: Eukaryota; Fungi; Basidiomycota; Agaricomycetes; Sebacinales; Sebacinaceae.
UCAAUAAGCGGAGGAAAAGAGACUAGCAAGGAUUCCCCUAGUAACGGCGAGUGAAGAGGGAAAAGCUCAAAUUUUGAAUCUGGUGUCUUUGGCGCCCGAAUUGUAAUCUAGAGAAGUGUUUUCCGCUUUGGACCGUGUACAAGUUCCCUGGAACGGGGCGUCAUAGAGGGUGAGAAUCCCGUAUAUGGCACGGACUACCAAUGCUCUGUGAUACACUCUCAACGAGUCGAGUUGUUUGGGAAUGCAGCUCAAAAUGGGUGGUAAAUUCCAUCUAAAGCUAAAUAUUGGCGAGAGACCGAUAGCGAACAAGUACCGUGAGGGAAAGAUGAAAAGCACUUUGGAAAGAGAGUGAAACAGUACGUGAAAUUGUUGAAAGGGAAGCGUUUGAAGUCAGUCAUAUCUGGCGGGAUUCAGCCUGGCUUUUGCCUGGUGUACUUUCCGUCCGAUGGGUCAGCAUCAAUUUUGACCGGGGGAAAAAGACGUUGGGAAUGUGGCUGUCUUCGGGCAGUGUUAUAGCCCGGCGUUGUAUGCCUCGGUUGGGAUUGAGGAAGAGCAGCGCGCCUAUAGGCUGGGGGCUAACGCCUCUCAACACGCGCUUAGGAUGCUGGCAUAAUGGCUUUAAGCGACCCGUCUUGAAACA